AGAGUUUUCCUGGUAUAUCCGCUCAUUCGAUCAGUAAUAACGUUAAACGCUUCAAAACUGAGACAAAUACUGCUCUCUAUUGAUUGUCCAACGAAGAGCAGUCACUCAGUGUUGGGUGGAAAGAAAUUGUUAACAACGACUGUGAAGUAGACUCCAUUGAGAUCAACGUAGUAUGGGUAUUUCUGGGGAGUUGUGUCAGGAGUCUGUUCUUGUUUGAACUGUGUUAUCGACUAGUUGCUUGGUAUAAAUAGAAUCUACCCUGUCGCAAAGGGAUUACUAACCUUUGGACAAGGUACUGUCUCAACAGCAUCAGAUUCAGCUUCUGUCAAUUAUUCAGUUCCUUUAGGAGGAACAUGGACCAUCAACCUGAAUUUAACAGAUGCAGACCAAUGGCUAGAUCAUGUCUACCUAAAAAGAGAUGGAAAUCGUCUCAUAAAGCUCAGAAAAGGUGAAGCUGGAAACGGCACUUGUUACAACGAGACACCUGGGUGCCAAACAUAUUACAACCUUCGCAAUAUUGGAGAAGGCAUAAUAGAAGUCACCAUCUGCUUAUUGUCGAAGUCAGUGCAGGGCUUUUAUGAGCUGUAUACCUAUUGUACAGGGACUGACCAUAACUGUAACAGAUAUGGUGCAAUUAAGACAUUUUGGCUCAUCACUGAAGAUGAGCAAAACCCCACAGAAGGAACAAGUGAAAACAAUAUUACAGAGGAAGAUUUCCCCUUUGUGAAGGGGUGUGCAAUGAACAUUCAUGGCAUUUGGUUAGGAAAGUUGACAUCUUUGUCAAUAGUUCCUCUACUAUGGUGGUUUAUUUAAAAAGUUUGGCAAGUUUCCAUAUUUCCUUGAAUAAGCC
Unclassified non-coding RNA from Stylophora pistillata, 850 nucleotides. NCBI's taxonomy places the organism in Eukaryota, Metazoa, Cnidaria, Anthozoa, Scleractinia, Pocilloporidae. The record is from RefSeq and is a predicted model, not a curated record.